RNAcentral lists this long non-coding RNA (239 nucleotides) under Homo sapiens (human). RNAcentral's name for it is "non-protein coding lnc-LPIN1-6:1". The record is from RNAcentral. Lineage: Eukaryota; Metazoa; Chordata; Mammalia; Primates; Hominidae.
ACUCAGCUCCCUUUCUUGCCACUACUGUGUUAUGGCCUGGAAAAACUCAUGGAACAAGAUGGUAGCCAGAGCCCUCUGAUACUAAGGAAGAUGUAGGGGAAUCCCUGCUAAGGGCACUUUGCCAACAAGGAUAAGAUGUUUUGCUUAAUAAACAAAUAAAAUAAUAAAGACUACAUCCAACCAGAUACGGACACAAACAAGCACACUCUUCCACUAUCAGUUCUCACCAGAGGACUCUG